Molecule: ribosomal RNA, 490 nt
Filed under: uncultured bacterium
Lineage: Bacteria
Description: bacterial SSU rRNA
Rfam family: Bacterial small subunit ribosomal RNA
Source: RNAcentral
GAUGAACGCUGGCGGCGUGCCUAACACAUGCAAGUCGAGCGUGAUGCUCUGGAUUGAAGCUUCGGCUGAUUGAAAGAGUUGAAAGCGGCGGACGGGUGAGUAACGCGUAGGCAACCUGCCCCUUACAGAGGGAUAGCCACUGGAAACGGUGAUUAAUACCUCAUAAUGCGAGAGAACCUCCUGGCUCUUUCGCCAAAGAUUUAUCGGUAAGGGAUGGGCCUGCGUCUGAUUAGCUAGUUGGUGAGGUAACGGCCCACCAAGGCGACGAUCAGUAGCCGGCCUGAGAGGGUGAACGGCCACAUUGGGACUGAGACACGGCCCAAACUCCUACGGGAGGCAGCAGUGGGGAAUAUUGCACAAUGGGGGAAACCCUGAUGCAGCGACGCCGCGUGAGUGAAGAAGUAUUCGGUAUGUAAAGCUCUAUCAGCAGGGAAGAAAAUGACGGUACCUGACUAAGAAGCCCGGCUAACUACGUGCCAGCAGCCGACGG